This 1150-nucleotide long non-coding RNA is filed under the name Ananas comosus (pineapple). RNAcentral's name for it is "long non-coding RNA (ACOM_LNC002881)". The record is from RNAcentral. Lineage: Eukaryota; Viridiplantae; Streptophyta; Magnoliopsida; Poales; Bromeliaceae.
AGUUUAUCUUAAAUUAUUGGGUAAACUUCAAAUACCACCCUUGUGGUUUUGUACUUUCUCACUUUAGUAUCCUGUGAUUUAAAGUAUAUCAAGUUAGUGUCAUGUGGUUUUAUUUUUACCUUUUUUAUCAGCUUCUCUAUUAAUAUUUCGUUAAAUUAUAUAAAAAAAACUUCAGAUAUUUCACCUGAGUUUAUCGAAUAUUCACUUUAGUAACUUUUAAUUUUAACUUUAUUACUAAUUUAACGAAAAAAAUAGUGAAAUCGAUAAUAAAAAAAUAAUAAUAAAAUCACAUGACACUAAAUUGAUACAUUUUAAACUAUAGGAUACUAAAGUGAGAAAGUGUGAAACCACAGGAAUGGUAUUUGAAGUUUUUUCUAAAUUAUAUACAUACUAUUUAAAUAUGUAUAAAAUUGUAUAUCUGUUUUGCUAGAUUAGUUAGAUUAUUAAUGCAUAAUAAUGUUACUGAAUAUAAUUUAUAAGUUAUAACAUCUAUAAUAAAAAAAAAUUAAAAUUGUUAUUUUGAAAUAAAAAUAAGAGAGAUAUUUAGUAUGUAAUGUUACCAUUUAUAUCUAAAUACAAAAAUAAAAUUUUAUAAAUAUUUGUCUGCAAAUAAGGGUACAAAGGGAUCCGGAUUGGUGGAGCUCAUGUCCUAAUUCGCUCCAAAUGAGGUGGUAACUAAGAACCACAAAUAUAAAAAAUUGUAAUCCGCUCUGGAUCCGUCCCGAUCCGCUAAGUAAAUAAAGUAAAAGGCGAAAGAUUUUUUUUUUAUCCUUCCUGAUCCGUCUCAAAUUCAGUGAUAAAUACAGUCUAAAAUUGACUUGAAAUUAAUUUGUCCCGACCUUUGUUAGUUAAUUCGUGAAUUAUUCACAAAUUAUUAAAAAUCCGAAUUAAAUGGUCCGUUUAUAAUUUUUUUUCAAAGAAACGAAAUUAUUCGCGAAUUUUUGGGCCAGUCGAAUAAUUCGCGAAUUAUUGAAAAUCUGAAUAAAAAACUUAUAAUUUUUAUGUUUAAAUAUAGAUUAUUUUAUAUUUUAUAUUUUAUACCGAAUCCGUUUUUUAAGUCAAAAUUUUAAAUAAAUUUAAAAAUUAAAAAAUAAAUUUUAUGCUAUUAUAUUUCCACCAAAUUUUUGUCGAUUCUAAAUUAACUAACUAU